AUUGAACGCUGGCGGCAGGCCUAACACAUGCAAGUCGAACGGUAACAGGAAGAAGCUUGCUUCUUUGCUGACGAGUGGCGGACGGGUGUGUCAUGUCUGGGAAACUGCCUGAUGGAGGGGGAUAACUACUGGAAACGGUAGCUAAUACCGCAUAACGUCGCAAGACCAAAGAGGGGGACCUUCGGGCCUCUUGCCAUCGGAUGUGCCCAGAUGGGAUUAGCUAGUAGGUGGGGUAACGGCUCACCUAGGCGACGAUCCCUAGCUGGUCUGAGAGGAUGACCAGCCACACUGGAACUGAGACACGGUCCAGACUCCUACGGGAGGCAGCAGUGGGGAAUAUUGCACAAUGGGCGCAAGCCUGAUGCAGCCAUGCCGCGUGUAUGAAGAAGGCCUUCGGGUUGUAAAGUACUUUCAGCGGGGAGGAAGGGAGUAAAGUUAAUACCUGUGCUCAUUGACGUUACCCGCAGAAGAAGCACCGGCUAACUCCGUG
This 490-nucleotide ribosomal RNA is filed under the name uncultured bacterium. Its description in RNAcentral is "partial 16S ribosomal RNA". It matches the Rfam family "Bacterial small subunit ribosomal RNA", at positions 30 to 507 of the family's 1533-position model. The record is from RNAcentral.